AUGGGCACCAGCCUCCUCUGCUGGAUGGCCCUGUGUCUCCUGGGGGCAGAUCACGCAGAUACUGGAGUCUCCCAGAACCCCAGACACAAGAUCACAAAGAGGGGACAGAAUGUAACUUUCAGGUGUGAUCCAAUUUCUGAACACAACCGCCUUUAUUGGUACCGACAGACCCUGGGGCAGGGCCCAGAGUUUCUGACUUACUUCCAGAAUGAAGCUCAACUAGAAAAAUCAAGGCUGCUCAGUGAUCGGUUCUCUGCAGAGAGGCCUAAGGGAUCUUUCUCCACCUUGGAGAUCCAGCGCACAGAGCAGGGGGACUCGGCCAUGUAUCUCUGUGCCAGCAGCUUAGC
Homo sapiens (human) is the source of this 347-nucleotide non-coding RNA. The record is from the annotation of a RefSeq genome assembly. NCBI's taxonomy places the organism in Eukaryota, Metazoa, Chordata, Mammalia, Primates, Hominidae.